Molecule: long non-coding RNA, 1910 nt
Filed under: Sinocyclocheilus anshuiensis
Lineage: Eukaryota; Metazoa; Chordata; Actinopteri; Cypriniformes; Cyprinidae
Description: lncRNA (ENSSANG00000004987.1)
Source: RNAcentral
CCCUGAAGCGUUGUGCCCUUUUUUUUUCUCUCUGUCUCUUUCUCUAUCGCUCUGCAUGUGCCGUCCUUUGCCUUAAAGAGCCUUAAACUGAUGGGACUCGCAGGACAAUAGACUGGAGACUCCAGCGGCCACUAGCACACAUACACGACGUGUGUGUGUGUGUGUGUGUGUGUGUGUGUGUGUGUGUGUGUGUGUGUGUGUGUGUGUGUGUGNNNNNNNNNNNNNNNNNNNNNNNNNNGUGUGUGUGCUGUGAAAGUCGCUUUGGCUCUGGUAUUGGCACUUGCUCAGAUGGGAACUGACACAUGACUUUAGUGUCAGCUGUAAACACCGAUCUAGACUUGGCAGUUCUUUGUUUUGUUGUUGUCAUUUGUUUUUAUGAAGAGAUUUCAUUUUUUAAAUUUUCACUCUGUAAAUUCUUAUAUCUUCCGUUCACCUGAUGUAUAUCAAACACACCGUUCCGUUGUUUCCAUAUACACCGUCAGUCACUGGGAAAUGAAUUGCAUGGAGCGGGUUCCACAUUAUCGAAACGUUACCAAAGUCUCACUCACUUUGACACCAAAACAGUGCUUUUAGGUGUCUGUAGCAUGGGAUAUAAACUUGCGUCUCUGUGUGUAUGGCUGUAUUACGUUAUUAUCUAUGUGUACUGUUGUAAGGGCGGAGCGGCCCUGCCGGUGCAUGGAAGCCUCUUCUGUCUCUGCUGCACCCGGGAGAUCCACAAGACUCCUUUCUCAAACACCAGCACGUGUUUCAGGCUUUCACACAGAGCUCUCCAAAGAAAAACAGGGCUAAGCACUCGCAAUGUUCCUUUAUCCAGCUCUGAGUGAUGAUGCUGAACUGUGUGUUGGUAUGAGGAACUCUGCCCCAAGUGCUGGUUCUCUUGUUGGUAGAACUUCUAAAAGAUGUUUGCUAGAUUUCAUGAAACCUGUGAAAGCAUCUUGCUGUGUCACUGUCGGAUGGGUGGUGCUGGAGUUUCCUGAUGACAUCUUACCUCUGCGGCCCCACUUGCAGAGCAACAGUCUGGAAUGGCAAAAAAAAAUCUCAAAUUUCAUCGCAUACUAUAAGUCAUGUGGUAUUCAUUCUGUACAUGCUGAUAAUGUAACUCUCGGUUCACUGCGCUGUUUGACAGGUUAUGUGAAACAGGUCCUAUUGUUGUGGUGUUUGGUUUGAAGUUUGAAAACCUGCCAAUGACUUGCGACGUUCUGCAUCCAAAAUGCAACCAACAGUGAUGUUUGCACUUUAAUGUUUGCGUUCUGCUUAGUGGUUGGUUUUGUUGGAUGUUGAUCAUUCUUGCUUCACGUUGCUUGCUCGCAUUCAUUAUGACAAUGACAGAGCUGCUCUCAUUUGCCCUUUCGUUUACACAAAACCAAAAACAAAACGACCUAAAUACUUAACAUUUGUCUUUUGCUGCAUUGCAACACUAGUUUUUCUGAUGUGUAUACCCUCAAACCCAAACACUUUGCAUGACAGAAAUAAAAUGCCCCAAAAUUCAGUAGGCACAACAGUCCUGUAAUGUUAAAAUGUUGCUGGUUUAAAUUGAAAUGUUGUAUUGACAAACGUGUUGCCAUCCACUGGUUGUUCAGUAUUUCAACAGCAUUGUGCAUAUGAACCGUCCUGCUGGUCAAGGCACAUCUCAGGAUCAAAAUGAUUCCCUAUGUAUCAGGAUGCUGUAUUCUCCAACCUAGUGUGAAUAUAGAGCUGAUUUUGUGGAAGUUUGUGUUAAUGGAGUUGACAGCUGUCCUCAUUAGGACCUCAUUCUUAGAAAGUAAAAGGAUUUCUACUCCAUUUAAGUUUUCACCCGUAAAUGCUUUGUUUUUUUUGUUUUUUUACACACGUUGUUGUUCCUAAUAAGUUUGAAUUGCUUUCUUCCUUAAAAAAAACAAAUAAAAAAUCCAUAUGACUUGAAUGAUGAG